This is a small nuclear RNA of Choloepus didactylus (southern two-toed sloth), 107 nucleotides long. The record is from RefSeq and is a predicted model, not a curated record. Lineage: Eukaryota; Metazoa; Chordata; Mammalia; Pilosa; Megalonychidae.
GUGUUCGCUUUGGCAGCACGUAUUCUAAAAAUGGAACAAUACAGAGAAGAUUAGCAUGGCCCCUGUGCAAGGAUGACACUCAAAUUCAUGAAGCAUUCCAUUAAAAA